Molecule: ribosomal RNA, 433 nt
Filed under: uncultured bacterium
Lineage: Bacteria
Description: partial 16S ribosomal RNA
Rfam family: Bacterial small subunit ribosomal RNA
Source: RNAcentral
AACGAACGCUGGCGGCAUGCCUAACACAUGCAAGUCGAACGAAACCUUCGGGUCUAGUGGCGCACGGGUGCGUAACGCGUGGGAACCUGCCCUUAGGUUCGGAAUAACUCCCCGAAAGGGGUGCUAAUACCGGAUAAUGUCUUCGGACCAAAGAUUUAUCGCCUUUGGAUGGGCCCGCGUUGGAUUAGCUAGUUGGUAGGGUAAUAGCCUACCACGGCGACGAUCAAUAGCUGGUCUGAGAGGAUGAUCAGCCACACUGGGACUGAGACACGGCCCAGACUCCUACGGGAGGCAGCAGUGGGGAAUAGUGCACAAUGGGCGAAAGCCUGAUGCAGCAAUGACGCGUGAAUGAUGAAGGUCUUAGGGUUGUAAAGUUCUUUUACCCGGGAUGAUAAUGACAGUACCGGGAGAAUAAGCUACGGCUAACUCCGUG